AACGCACAUUGCGCCCGCCAGUAUUCUGGCGGGCAUGCCUGUUCGAGCGUCAUUUCAACCAUCAAGCCCCUGGCUUGUGUUGGGGACCUGCGGCUGCCGCAGGCCCUGAAAACCAGUGGCGGGCUCGCUAGUCACACCGAGCGUAGUAGUCUACACCUCGCUCAGGGCGUGCUGCGGGUUCCGGCCGUUAAAAGCCUUAUUUUACCCAAGGUUGACCUCGGAUCAGGUAGGAAGACCCGCUGAACUUAA
Molecule: unclassified non-coding RNA, 249 nt
Filed under: uncultured Sordariales
Lineage: Eukaryota; Fungi; Ascomycota; Sordariomycetes; Sordariales
Description: sequence contains 5.8S rRNA gene, ITS2, 28S rRNA gene
Rfam family: 5.8S ribosomal RNA (bases 1-52)
Source: RNAcentral